This 253-nucleotide ribosomal RNA is filed under the name uncultured bacterium. RNAcentral describes it as "partial 16S ribosomal RNA". It matches the Rfam family "Bacterial small subunit ribosomal RNA", at positions 524 to 776 of the family's 1533-position model. The record is from RNAcentral.
UACGGAGGGUGCAAGCGUUGUUCGGAAUUACUGGGCGUAAAGCGCGUGUAGGCGGUUUCCUCAGUCUGGUGUGCAAUCCCGCGGCUCACCCCCGGAAGUGCAUCGGAUACUGGGAGACUUGAGUACCGGAGAGGAGGGUGGAAUUCCUGGUGUAGCGGUGAAAUGCGUAGAUAUCAGGAAGAACACCGGUGGCGAAGGCGGCCCACUGGACGGAUACUGACGCUGAGACGCGAAAGCGUGGGGAGCAAACAGG